RNAcentral lists this long non-coding RNA (958 nucleotides) under Homo sapiens (human). RNAcentral describes it as "non-protein coding MIR1-1HG-AS1:49". The record is from RNAcentral. Lineage: Eukaryota; Metazoa; Chordata; Mammalia; Primates; Hominidae.
GGGACCAGGUCGUGGAAUGACAGUGGACCACAGUGGUCCGGGGACCCCGCUCGUUGGUGGCAGGCACAGGCCCGUGUGAUGGGGACAAUGAGCUUUGGUAUUUGUGGUUUAAGGCGUGAAUGAAUGAAGGAGCAAGCAGUAAGCCCCGACAGCAAGGCCACCACAGCCCUCGCCCCACAGGGACGCCUGAGCAAGGACCCAAGCAGGGGACAAGCAGGCUCACCCCGCCCUUGCGGGGCUGACCACGAGGCCCCGUCCGGUGGAACACGCCAUGACGCUUCAGGAGGCUCAUGUAGCUGGCGCCGUAUGGGACAGCGGGGGAGAGAGAAAAUGCACAGCCCAGGGAAUGUGGAGACAGGCCCAGCGCCAGGCAUGGGGGCCGGAAGGAGCAGCCGGGGAGCAGGGGGCAGGGCCUGGAGUCCCGCCUUGCAGGUCAGAGGGCACCUCGCGCACGAGGGGAGUUCACCACACAAGCUGAGCGGAGGGCGGACGCAGGAGAGCAGCGGUUUCUCGGAAGCCAAGGGCGGUCAUGGAGCCCCACGCCACAGCGCUUCCCACGGGGCCACACCAUCCGGUCUGCGGAGGGGGCUGCAUUGCCGGGAAGGACCAUCUGAUUCUGGAUUCCAGCCUCACCCUGGGCCACCGCUGAGUGUCCCAAGUGGCCCCUUAGCCCCCAGGGCCAGGCGGCAUCCCAAUCCCCUAGGGAUGUCUGUGCUCAGAAUGUGGCACACACGCCCCGGCAGGGCCAUCCUCCUCCUCCUGCACCCGCCACAGCCGUGGAUUCGGGGUCUCUAUCGUGGGCAGAAAUUCACACAGUCAAGGUGAGGGUCCCAGGAGCAGCUGUGACCAGGCCCCGGCUGCCAGGGAGAGGGGGUCUUCAGCCGACGGGGCAGACACCCUGAGAUGGACCCUUGUCCAGGGGAGGGCCCUGCCACCCACAAUUCCUUGGCAUUCCUGC